GGUUAUCUUAAGACUUGGGAAUGUCCGGCCUAUGUCAAGAGACAAAUGGCAGAUAAAUUGGAGGAUAGAUCUAUUAUAGCUCACUUUAUAAGGUAUCCAAAAGAAUCCAUAGGAUACUACUACUUUUCACAAGACCACAAUAUGAUUGUGAGUUAAAAUGCUGUAUUCUUAGAAAAAUAGUUUAUCCAAGAUGGCGGUAGUG
This 202-nucleotide long non-coding RNA is filed under the name Elaeis guineensis (African oil palm). RNAcentral's name for it is "long non-coding RNA (EGUI_LNC054099)". Lineage: Eukaryota; Viridiplantae; Streptophyta; Magnoliopsida; Arecales; Arecaceae. The record is from RNAcentral.